This 1011-nucleotide ribosomal RNA is filed under the name Triticum aestivum (bread wheat). Its description in RNAcentral is "partial small subunit ribosomal RNA". The record is from RNAcentral. Lineage: Eukaryota; Viridiplantae; Streptophyta; Magnoliopsida; Poales; Poaceae.
AUGUUGCAAGGUUCGAUCCCAGCCUCUUUCAAAGGGUUACUCAACCUAAAAGUAUUGUGCCUAUCCUGUAACAACCUUUCUGGCACUAUUCCAAAGUAUUUGGCCAACUUUACUUCUCUGACUAGCUUGAACCUUUCUUUUAAUAAGUUCCAAGGGGAGAUACCAGAUGGAGGUAUUUUCUCAAAAAACAUCAGCUCUCAAUCUUUGAUGGGAAAUGCUGGGUUGUGUGGUGCCCCACGUCUAGGAGUUUUGCCAUGGCAAGUUGAUUCACACCCAUCCAACAAACACUCGCUAAGAUUUUUGCUUCCAGUUCUCAUGAUAACACUGGGGGCUAUAGCAAUUCUCCUAUACCUAAUGAACAGAAAGAAAAAUAGGAAGCAACCAGAUGUUUCGACUUCUAUUGACAUGGCUGACGUGAUCAGCCGUAGGUUAAUAUCCUACCAUGAUAUUGCUGAAGCCACUGAUAAUUUCAACGACGACAACAUACUUGGAGCUGGAACUUUUGGUAAAGUUUACAAGGGCCAACUGGAUGAUGGUUCGGUUGUUGCAAUUAAAGUGAUCAACAUGCAAGUCGAGCAGGCCGUGAGGAGCUUUGAUGCUGAAUGUCAAGUGCUACGAAUGGCUCGCCAUCACAACUUGAUACGGAUAUUGAAUACUUGUUCCAACCUAGAUUUCAGAGCACUGUUGCUUCAGUACAUGGCCAAUGGUAGCUUGGACGCACACUUGCACACUGAAAAUUGGGAGCCGCUAGGAUUCAUCAAGAGAUUGGACAUUAUGCUUGGUGUGUCGGAGGCGAUGGAGUACCUACAUCAUCAUCACUAUCAAGUUGUUUUACACUGUGACCUGAAGCCUAGCAAUGUGCUCUUCGAUACGGACAUGACGGUGCAUGUUGCUGACUUUGGCAUUGCAAAGUUACUUUUGGGCGAUGAUAACUCCAUGGUAUCAGCGAGUAUGCCAGGGACGAUUGGUUACAUGGCCCCAGGUAUGUGUACUUGCUACCAUCAUGCUUGA